RNAcentral lists this ribosomal RNA (304 nucleotides) under uncultured bacterium. RNAcentral describes it as "partial 16S ribosomal RNA". It matches the Rfam family "Bacterial small subunit ribosomal RNA", at positions 506 to 809 of the family's 1533-position model. The record is from RNAcentral.
CAGCAGCCGCCGCGGUAAUACAGAGGGUGCGAGCGUUAAUCGGAUUUACUGGGCGUAAAGCGUGCGUAGGCGGCUUCUUAAGUCGGAUGUGAAAUCCCUGAGCUUAACUUAGGAAUUGCAUUCGAUACUGGGAAGCUAGAGUAUGGGAGAGGAUGGUAGAAUUCCAGGUGUAGCGGUGAAAUGCGUAGAGAUCUGGAGGAAUACCGAUGGCGAAGGCAGCCAUCUGGCCUAAUACUGACGCUGAGGUACGAAAGCAUGGGGAGCAAACAGGAUUAGAUACCCCAGUAGUCCCUGUCUCUUAUAU